CAGUAAAGGCACCUGUGGGAGUAAGGUGCCCCAGGUGUCUGUCAUCAGGGAACUUCCUGCUGGACCCUGGAUGGCAAGGCUACGAAUGUCUCCUGAGACCUGGCUUCAGGGAACUGGCAACUAGAACAGGAUGGACCUUGGCAUCCCUGCGAAUCUCUGAGAAAUCCCCGCUGGGGCUCUGUCCAAUCCCACAAUUCCCAAACUCUGGUAAUGAGUCACAGCAGCUGUUGCCUGCGCGGUUCACUCCUGCACACCUGCCCACAAGCAUCCAAGCCCAUACCCACUGUUGGCUUGAGGCCUGACUGUGCUUACCAUGCCAUCUUCCUGGGGCAGCUUUUCUGUGCACGGAUCCGUCGAUGAGGAAACUGAGAUGCUUAAAGGCUAAGUGACCUUGCAUGAACUCCAAGGAUUGGUUAGUUGCAGCACCUGACACAACACUUGAAGUACCCAGAGUCCUUGACCAGACCUUCCCUUCAGCCAGGAGGCUUCAGCCUAAAGAACAGCAUUCUCCACCUCUUGCGGGGACAGUCCAGAUUGGAGAGACCAGCUUCCAGAUAUCCUAACAGUCAGAAGUGGAUUGAAAAGAAACAAUCAUAGGAAAAGGAACAAAGAAAGCAUUAAAAAUUAUAACAUUCAACUUUAUAGAACUCUGCAUGUUUGUGAAGGUGUACAUGAACAUUGUUCUUCAUUAUUCUUCAAUGACAUGGCAAGAUAGAACUUCAGAACAAAUCAUAUUGUAUAGACAGGGCAGUAUAGGGAACAAAUACAGGGCUUUCUCUGAAUACCAGUGAGUUAGUAGGUGAACAGAUACGAAACAAGAACACUUAGAACAAGAACACAC
Long non-coding RNA from Neofelis nebulosa (Clouded leopard), 841 nucleotides. RefSeq lists it as uncharacterized. The record is from RefSeq and is a predicted model, not a curated record. NCBI's taxonomy places the organism in Eukaryota, Metazoa, Chordata, Mammalia, Carnivora, Felidae. The transcript is spliced from 3 exons.